RNAcentral lists this ribosomal RNA (702 nucleotides) under Streptomyces sp. L2095. RNAcentral describes it as "bacterial SSU rRNA". It matches the Rfam family "Bacterial small subunit ribosomal RNA", at positions 24 to 744 of the family's 1533-position model. Lineage: Bacteria; Bacillati; Actinomycetota; Actinomycetes; Kitasatosporales; Streptomycetaceae. The record is from RNAcentral.
UCAGGACGAACGCGGCGGCGUGCUUAACACAUGCAAGUCGAACGAUGAACCACUUCGGUGGGGAUUAGUGGCGAACGGGUGAGUAACACGUGGGCAAUCUGCCCUUCACUCUGGGACAAGCCCUGGAAACGGGGUCUAAUACCGGAUAUGAGCCUGGGAGGCAUCUCCCGGGUUGUAAAGCUCCGGCGGUGAAGGAUGAGCCCGCGGCCUAUCAGCUUGUUGGUGAGGUAACGGCUCACCAAGGCGACGACGGGUAGCCGGCCUGAGAGGGCGACCGGCCACACUGGGACUGAGACACGGCCCAGACUCCUACGGGAGGCAGCAGUGGGGAAUAUUGCACAAUGGGCGCAAGCCUGAUGCAGCGACGCCGCGUGAGGGAUGACGGCCUUCGGGUUGUAAACCUCUUUCAGCAGGGAAGAAGCGCAAGUGACGGUACCUGCAGAAGAAGCGCCGGCUAACUACGUGCCAGCAGCCGCGGUAAUACGUAGGGCGCAAGCGUUGUCCGGAAUUAUUGGGCGUAAAGAGCUCGUAGGCGGCUUGUCACGUCGGGUGUGAAAGCCCGGGGCUUAACCCCGGGUCUGCAUUCGAUACGGGCUGGCUAGAGUGUGGUAGGGGAGAUCGGAAUUCCUGGUGUAGCGGUGAAAUGCGCAGAUAUCAGGAGGAACACCGGUGGCGAAGGCGGAUCUCUGGGCCAUUACUGAC